Non-coding RNA from Trichonephila clavata, 73 nucleotides. Lineage: Eukaryota; Metazoa; Arthropoda; Arachnida; Araneae; Nephilidae. The record is from the annotation of a GenBank genome assembly.
GUCCCAGUAGCGCAAUGGAUAGCGCGUUGGACUUCUAAUCCACUGAUCAUGGGUCCUAAUCCCACCUGGGAUG